Molecule: long non-coding RNA, 9030 nt
Filed under: Ananas comosus (pineapple)
Lineage: Eukaryota; Viridiplantae; Streptophyta; Magnoliopsida; Poales; Bromeliaceae
Description: long non-coding RNA (ACOM_LNC029062)
Source: RNAcentral
GGCGCAACAGAGUAGUCUAUUGUUGUUCCGGUUUUGGUUAUUGUUAAGGUUGACAUCGAUUCGUUUCAAAUUUACACUCUCGAGGCAUAAUAGAACAAUAUAAUUAGGUUUUACUCUUUGUUCGAUAGAAUGAGAAAAAGUACUCAUUGCAAAGUUAUACUGUUAGGGCGCAACCGAAUAGUCUAAUGUUGUUCCGGUUUUGGUUCUUGUGAACGCUGACAUCAAUUGGUUCGAAAUUACAACUCUCGGGGCAUAAUUGAACAAUAUAAAUUAGGUUUUACUCUUUGUUCGAUAGAAUGAGAAAAAGAACUCGUCGCAAAGUUAUACUGCUAGGGGGCAACUGAGUAGUCUAAUAUUGUUCCGGUUUUGGUUCUUGUGAACGUUGACAUCGAUUCGUUCCAAAUUUACACUCUCGGGGCAUAAUAGAACAAUACAAUUAAGUUUUACUCUUUGUUCGAUCGAAUGAGAAAAAGUACUCGUUGCAAAUUUAUAAUAUUAGGGCGCAGCUGAGUAGUCUAAUGUUGUUCCGGUUUUGGUUCUUGUGAAGGUUGACAUCGAUUCGUUCCAAAUUUACACUCUUGGGGCAUAAUAGAACAAUAUAAUUAGCUUUUACACUUUGUUCGAUCGAAUGGGAAAAAAGUACUCGUUACAAAGUUAUACUGUUAGGGCGCAACUGAGUAGUCUAUUGUUGUUCCAGCUUUGGUUCUUAUGAAGGUUGACAUCGAUUCAUUCCAAAUUUACACUCUCGCGGCAUAAUAGAACAAUAUAAUUAGCUUUUACACUUUGUUCGAUUGAAUGAGAAAAAGUACUAGUUGCAAAGUUAUAUUGUUGGGGUACAACAGAGUAGUCUAUUGUUGUUCCGGUUUUGGUUCUAGUGAAAGUUGACAUCGAUUCGUUCCAAAUUUACACUCUCGGGGCAUAAUGAAUAAAAUAAUUAGCUUUUACACUUUGUUCGAUUGAAUGAGAAAAAGUACUAGUUGCAAAGUUAUACUGUUGGGGCGCAACAGAGUAGUCUACUGUUGUUCCGGUUUUGGUUCUUGUUAAGGUUGACAUCGAUUCAUUCCAAAUUUACACUCUCGGGGCAUAAUAGGACAAUAUAAUUAGGUUUUACUCUUUGUUCGAUAGAAUGAGAAAAAGUACUCAUUGCAAAGUUCUACUGUUAGGGCGCAACUGAAUAGCGUUAUGUUGUUACGGUUUUGGUUCUUGUGAACGUUGACAUCGAUUCGUUCGAAAUUACAACUCUCGCGGCAUAAUUGAACAAUAUAAUUAGGUUUUACACUUUGUUCAAUAGAAUGAGAAAAAGUACUCGUCGCAAAGUUAUACUGUUGGGGCGCAACUAAGUAGUCUAAUGUUGUUCCGGUUUUGGUUCUUGUGAACGUUGACAUCGAUUCGUUCCAAAUUUACACUCUCGGGGCAAAAUAGGACAAUAUAAUUAAGUUUUACGCUUUGUUCGAUCGAAUGAGAAAAUGUACGCGUUGCAAAUUUAUACUGUUAGGGCGCAGCUGGGUAGUCUAAUGUUGUUCCGGUUUCGGUUCAUGUGAAGGUUGACAUCGAUUCGUUCCAAAUGUACACUCUUGGGGCAUAAUAGAACAAUAUAAUUAGCUUUUACACUUUGUUCAAUCGAAUGGAAAAAAAUACUCGUUGCAAAGUUAUACUGUUAGGGCGCAGCUUAGUAGUCUAAUGUUGUUCCGGUUUUGGUUCUUGUGAAGGUUGACAUCGAUUCGUUCUAAAUUUACACUCGCGGGGCAUAAUAGAACAAUAUAAUUAGCUUUUACACUUUGUUCGGUCGAAUGGGAAAAAGUACUCGUUGCAAAGUUAUACUGUUAGGGCGGAACUGAGUAGACUAUUGUUGUUCCGGUUUUGGUUCUUGUGAAGGUUGACAUCGAUUCGUUCCAAAUUUACACUCUUGGGGCAUAAUAGAACAAUAUAAUUAGUUUUUACACUUUGUUCGAUUGAUUAAGAAAAAGUACUAGUUGCAAAGUUAUACUGUUGGGGCGCAACAGAGUAGUCUAUUGUUGUUCCGGUUUUGAUUCUUGCUAAGGUUGACAUCGAUUCGUUCCAAAUUUACACUCUCGGGGCAUAAUAGAACAAUAUAAUUUGGUUUUACUCUUUGUUCGAUAGAAUAAGAAAAAGUAGUCAUUGCAAUGUUAUACUGUUAGGGCGCCACUGAAUAGUCUAAUAUUGUUCCGGUUUUGGUUCUUGUGAACGUUGACAUCGAUUCGUUCGAAAUUACAACUCUCGGGGCAUAAUUGAACAAUAUAAUUAGGUUUUACUCUUUGUUCGAUAGAAUGAGAAAAAGUACUCGUCGCAAAGUUAUACUGCUAGGGCGCAACUGAGUAGUCUAAUGUUGUUCCGAUUUUGGUUCUUGUGAACGUUGACAUCGAUUCGUUCCAAAUUUACACUCUCGGGGCACAAUUGAACAAUAUAAUUAGGUUUUACUCUUUGUUCGAUAAAAAGAGAAAAAGUACUCGUUGCAAAGUUAUACUGUUAGGGCGCAACAGAGUAGUCUAAUGUUGUUCCGGUUUUCGUUCUUGUGAACGGUGACAUCGAUUCGUUCCAAAUUUACACUCUCGGGNCUGGGAACUUGUUGUACACAAUCUCGUCGUUGUGCCUUGGGCGGACAGGGGAGGUACUGUCCGUACGGCGGUCCGCCGCCGUGCCCGAACCGAACCAAAUUGGUAUCGGCCUCGGGGCGGGGGCGUGACAGAAAAAUUACUAGUUGCAAAGUUAUACUGUUGGGGCGCAACAGAGUAGUCUAUUGUUGUUCCGGUUUUGGUUAUUGUUAAGGUUGACAUCGAUUCGUUUCAAAUUUACACUCUCGAGGCAUAAUAGAACAAUAUAAUUAGGUUUUACUCUUUGUUCGAUAGAAUGAGAAAAAGUACUCAUUGCAAAGUUAUACUGUUAGGGCGCAACCGAAUAGUCUAAUGUUGUUCCGGUUUUGGUUCUUGUGAACGCUGACAUCAAUUGGUUCGAAAUUACAACUCUCGGGGCAUAAUUGAACAAUAUAAAUUAGGUUUUACUCUUUGUUCGAUAGAAUGAGAAAAAGAACUCGUCGCAAAGUUAUACUGCUAGGGGGCAACUGAGUAGUCUAAUAUUGUUCCGGUUUUGGUUCUUGUGAACGUUGACAUCGAUUCGUUCCAAAUUUACACUCUCGGGGCAUAAUAGAACAAUACAAUUAAGUUUUACUCUUUGUUCGAUCGAAUGAGAAAAAGUACUCGUUGCAAAUUUAUAAUAUUAGGGCGCAGCUGAGUAGUCUAAUGUUGUUCCGGUUUUGGUUCUUGUGAAGGUUGACAUCGAUUCGUUCCAAAUUUACACUCUUGGGGCAUAAUAGAACAAUAUAAUUAGCUUUUACACUUUGUUCGAUCGAAUGGGAAAAAAGUACUCGUUACAAAGUUAUACUGUUAGGGCGCAACUGAGUAGUCUAUUGUUAUUCCAGUUUUGGUUCUUGUGAAGGUUGACAUCGAUUCGUUCCAAAUUUACACUCUCGGGGCAUAAUAGAACAAUAAAAUUAGCUUUUACACUUUGUUCGAUUGAAUAAGAAAAAGUACUAGUUGCAAAGUUAUAUUGUUGGGGUGCAACAGAGUAGUCUAUUGUUUUUCCGAUUUUGGUUCUGGUGAAGGUUGAUAUCGAUUCGUUCCAAAUUUACACUCUCGGGGCAUAAUGAAUAAAAUAAAUAGCUUUUACACUUUGUUCGAUUGAAUGAGAAAAAGUACUAGUUGCAAAGUUAUACUGUUGGGGCGCAACAGAGUAGUUUACUGUUGUUCCGAUUUUGGUUCUUGUUAAGGUUGACAUCGAUUCAUUCCAAAUUUACACUCUCGGGGCAUAAUAGAACAAUACAAUUAAGUUUUACUCUUUGUUCGAUCGAAUGAGAAAAAGUACUCGUUGCAAAAUUAUGCUGUUAGGGCGCAACUGAGUAGUCUAGUGUUGUUCCGAUUUUGGUUCUUGUGAAGAUUGACAUCGAUUCGUUCCAAAUUUACACUCUCGGGGCAUAAUAGAACAAUAUAAUUAGCUUUUACACUUUGUUCGAUUGAAUGAGAAAAAGUACUAGUUGCAAAGUUAUACUGUUGGGGCGCAACAGAGUAGUCUAUUGUUGUUCCGGUUUUGGUUCUUGUUAAGGUUGACAUCGAUUCGUUCCAAAUUUACACUCUCGGGGCAUAAUAGAACAAUAUAAUUAGGUUUUACUCUUUGUUCGAUCGAAUGAGAAAAAGUACUCGUUGCAAAGUUAUACUGUUAGGGCGCAACUGAGUAGUCUAAUGUUGUUCCGGUUUUGGUUCUUGUGAACGUUGACAUCGAUUCGUUCGAAUUUACACUCUCGCGGCAUAAUAGAACAAUAUAAUUAGGUUUUACACUUUGUUCGAUAGAAUGAGAAAAAGUACUCGUUGCAAAGUUAUACUGUUAGGGCGCAACUGAGUAGUCUAAUGUUGUUCCGGUUUUGGUUCUUGUGAACGUUGACAUCGAUUCGUUCCAAAUUUACACUCUCGGGGCAUAAUAGAACAAUAUAAUUAGGUUUUACGCUUUGUUCGAUUGAAUGAGAAAAAGUACUCGUUGCAAAGUUAUACUGUUAGGGCGCAACUGAGUAGUCUAAUGUUGUUCCGGUUUUGGUUCUUGUGAACGUUGACAUCGAUUCGUUCCAAAUUUACACUCUCGGGGCAUAAUAGAACAAUAUAAUUAGNNNNNNNNNNNNNNNNNNNNNNNNNAGAUCGAUUCGUUCCAAAUUUACACUCUCGGGGCAUAAUAGGAAGUUUUUACUUCUUGUUCGAUAGAAUAAGAAAAAGUACUCAUCGCAAAGUUAUACUGUUAUGGCGCAACUGAGUAGUCUAAUGUUGUUCCGGUUUUGGUUCUUGUCAACGUUGACAUCGAUUCGUUCUAAAUUUACACUCUCGACGCUUGAACAAUAUAAUUAGGUUUUACUCUUUAUUCGAUUGAAUGAGAAAAAGGACUAGUUGCAAUGUUAUACUGUUAGGGCUCAACUGAGUAGUCUAACGUUCUUCCGGUUUUGGUUCUUGUGAACGCUGACAUUGAUUCGUUCCGAAUUUACACCCUUGGGGCAUAAAAGAAAGCUUUUACUCCUUGUUCGAUGAUUGAGAAAAAGUACUCAUUGCAAAGUUAUACUGUUAUGGCGCAAUAGAGUAGUCUAAUGUUGUUCCGGUUUUGGUUCUUGUGAACAUUGACGUCAAUUAGUUCCAAAUUUACACUCUCGGGGCAUAAUAGAACAAUAUUAUUAUGUUUUACGCUUUAUUCGAUUGAACGAGAAAAAGUACUCGUCGCAAAGUUAUUCUAUUAGGCGCAACUGAGUAGUCUAAUGUAGUUCCGGUUAUGGUACUUGUGAACGUUGACAUCGAUUCGUUCCAAAUUUACACUCUCGGGGCAUAAUAGAAAGCUUUUACUCCUUGUUCAAUAGAAUUAGAAAAAGUACUCGUUGCAAAGUUAAACUGUUAAGGCACACAGAGUAGUCUAUUGUUGUUCCGAUUUUGGUUCUUGUCAACGUUGACAUCGAUUCGUUCCAAAUUUACACUCUUGGGGUAUAAUAGAACAAUAUAAUUAGGUUUUACUCUUUAGUCGAUUGAAUGAGAAAAAGUACUAGUUGCAAUGUAAUACUAUCAGGGCUCAACUGAGUAGUCUAACGUUGUUUCUGUUUUGGUUCUUGUGAACGUUGACAUCGAUUCGUUCAAAAUUUACACUCUCGGGGAAUAAUAAAAAGCUUUUACUCCUUACUCGAAACAAUGAGAAAAAGUACACGUUGCAAAGUUAUGCUAUUAUGGCGCAACAGAGUAGCCUAAUGUAGUUCCGGUUUUGGUUCUUGUCAACGUUGACAUCGAUUCGUUCCAAAUAUACACUCUCGGGGCAUAAUAGAACAAUAUCGUUUGGUUUUACUCUUUAUUCGAUUGAAUGAGAGAAAGUACUCGUUGCAAAGUUAUACUGUUAUGGCAAAACUGAGUAGUCAAAUUUAGUUCCUGUUUUGGUUCUUGUGAACUUUGACUUCGAUUCGUUCCAAAUUUAUACUCUCGAGGCAUAAUAGAACAAUAUUAUUAGUUUUGCUAUUUGUUCGAUUGAAUGAGAACAAGUUCUAGUUGCAAAGUUAUACUGUCAAGGCUCAACUGAGUAGUCAAACGUUGUUCCGGUUUUGGUUUUUGUGAACGUCAACAUCGUUACGUUGCAAAUUUACACUCUCGGGGCAUAAUAGAAAGCUUUUACACCUUGUUCGAUAGAAAGAGAAAAAGUACUCGUUGCAAAAUUAUAUUGUUAUGGCGCAACAGAGUAGUCUAAUGUUAUUUCAGGUUUGGUUCUUGUGAACAUUGACAUCGAUUCAUACCAAAUUUACACUCUCGGUGCAUAAUAGAACAACAUAAGUAGGUUUUGCUCUUUGUUCGAUUGAAUGAGAAAAAGUACUAGUUGCAAUCUUAUACUGUUAGGGCUCAACUGAGUUGUCUAACGUUGUUUCGGUUUUGGUUCUCGUGAACGUUGACAUCGAUUCNNNNNNNNNNNNNNNNNNNNNNNNNAUACUGUUAUGGCGCAACUGAGUAGUCUAAUGUUGUUCCAGUUUUGGUUCUUGUGAACGUUGACAUCGAUUCGUUCCAAAUUAAAACUCUCCGGUAAUAAUAGAACAAUAUAAUUAGGUUUUGCUCUUUGUUCGAUUGAAUGAGAAAAAAUACUAGUUGCAAAGUUAUACUGUUAGGGCUCAACUGAGUAGUCUAACGUUGUUCCGGUUUUAGUUCGUGCGAACGUUGACAUUGAUUCGCUCCAAAUUUACACUCUCGGGGCAUAAUAGAUAGCUUUUACUCCUUAUUCGAUAGAAUUAGAAAAAGUACUCGUUGCAAAGUUAAACUGUUAAGGCGCAACUGAGUAGUCUAGCGUUGUUCCAGUUUUGGUUCUUGUGAACGUUGACAUCGAUUCGUUCCAAAUUUACACUCUCGGGGUAUAAUAGAACAAUAUAAUUAGGUUUUACUCUUUGUUCAAUUGAAUAAGAAAAAGUACUGGUUGCAAUGUCAUACUGUUAGGGCUCAACUGAGUAGUCUAACGUUCUUCCGAUUUUGGUUCUCGUGAACGUUGGCAACGAUUCGUCCCAAAUUUACACUACCGGGGCAUAAUAGAAAGCUUUCACUCCUUGUUCGAUAGAAUGAGAAAAAGUACUCGUUCCAAAGUUAUACUGUUAUGGCGCAACAGAGUGGUCUAAUGUUGCUCCUAUUUUGGUUCCUGUGAACGUUGACAUCGAUUCGUUCCAAAUUUACAAUCUCGGGGCAUAAUACAACAAAAUUAUUAGGUUUUACGCUUUAUUCGAUUGAACGAGAAAAAGUACUCAUCGUAAUGUUAUACUGUUAUGGCGUAACUGAGUUGUCUAAUGUUGUUCCGGUUAUGGUUCUUGUGAACGUUGACAUCGACUCGUUCUAAAUUUACACUCUCGGGGCUCGAACAGUAUAAUUAGGUUUUACUCUUUGUUCAAUUGAAUGAGAAAAAGGACUAGUUGCAAUGUUAUACUGUUAGGGCUCAACUGAGUAGUCUAACGUUAUUCCGGUUUUGGUUUUUAUGAACGCUGACAUCGAUUCAUUCCAAAUUUACACCCUUGGGGCAUAACAGAAAGCUUUUACUCCUUGUUCAGUAGAUUGAGAAAAAGUACUCAUAGCAAAGUUAUACUGUUAUGGCGUAAUAGAGUAGUCUAAUGUUGUUCCGGUUUUGGUUCUUGUGAACGUUGACAUCGAUCAGUUCCAAAUAUACACUCUCGGGGCAUAAUAGAACCAUAUUAUUAGGUUUUACGCUUUAUUCGAUUGAACGAGAAAUAGUACUCGUCGCAAAGUUAUACUGUUAUGGCGCAACUUAGUAGUUUAAUGUAGUUCCGGUUUUGGUUCUUGUGAACGUUGACAUCGACUCGUUCUAAAUUUACACUGUCGGGGCUCGAACAGUAUAAUUAGGUUUUACUCUUUGUUCGAUUGAAUGAGAAAAAGGACUAGUUACAAUGUUAUACUGUUAGGGCUCAACUGAGUAGUCUAACGUUAUUCUGGUUUUGGUUUUUGCGAACACUGACAUCGAUUCGUUCCAAAUUUACACCCUUGGGGCAUAAUAGAAAGCUUUUACUCCUUGUUCAGUAGGUAUUGGAGCAACAUUACCUAUUGAUAAAUCCCUAACUUUAGGUCUUUUUCAAAUUGAUUCAACCGCGAAGUACCAUGAUGUAGUUCCCAAGAUCCUAGUUACUUCAAAGUGAAUCUUCCCUAGAUACAUUAAUUUGAUUAUGAUCUAUUCCGCGAAAAUACGGAUUGUGCCAAAGAUGCAAAAUUGUUUUCUUUUUUUCUUUAGAAUUUUCUUUCUAUUAGAAUUAGAAAAAGAAGAUGAAAAAAUUACAAUGGAUUUAAAAUGAGAACUUAUUCUUAGGUAAAUCAAUUGCGAAAUGCUUCUGUAGAGUGUCCAAUAUUUGUUUUACAUCUUCCAUGCGAAAAUAUUCAAUUCUCAUAAGAUCUUCUUGACUGUUACUCAAAAGGUCCAAUAAUGUAUGUAUAUUGGACCUUUUGAGACAAUUAUAGGUCCUGGAAGGCAAUUCUAAUUGGUCAAUAAAAAUACAAUUCAAUGGAAUUCCUUUUUUGUUUUUCUUUAGAUUAGUUAAUCUAUCUUGAAAGGUUAAAAAGGGUAGAGUAAACCUGUUUUUAUUUUCUUCGAAAUUAAUGUCCUCUUCCUCCGCAUGUAGAAAAGGAAUAAAUAAAUCAAUCAAAUUACGAGAAGCCUCAUAAAGUGCUUCCUUAGGAGUUAAACUUCCAUUUGUCCAUAUUUCUAGAAAAAGUAUCUCUUGUUUUUCAUUCCCAUUCCCAUAAGAAUGAAUACUAUGAUUCGCAUUUCGAACAGGCAUGGAUACAGCAUCUAUAGGAUAACUUACAUCUUGAGAGUCAUUUAUGGGUUCCAUACGAUAUCCGCGAUCUCUCUUGAUUUGUAAUCCAAUACACAAAUCAAUUGGUUCCGUCAGGUUAGCUAUAUGUUGUGUCGUGUCAACUAUUUCUACGGAAGGUGGUGAGAUGAUAUCUUGAGCGGUUACGUAUCUAGGACCCC